GAUGAAGAACGCAGCGAAAUGCGAUAAGUAAUGUGAAUUGCAGAAUUCAGUGAAUCAUCGAAUCUUUGAACGCACAUUGCGCCCGCCAGUACUCUGGCGGGCAUGCCUGUUCGAGCGUCAUUACAACCCUCAGGCCCCCGGGCCUGGCGUUGGGGAUCGGCGGAGCCCCCCGUGGGCACACGCCGUCCCCCAAAUACAGUGGCGGUCCCGCCGCAGCUUCCAUCGCGUAGUAGCUAACACCUCGCGACUGGAGAGCGGCGCGGCCACGCCGUAAAACACCCAACUCUUCUGAAGUUGACCUCGAAUCAGGUAGGAAUACCCGCUGAACUUAAGCAUAUCAAUAAGCGGAGGA
This 352-nucleotide unclassified non-coding RNA is filed under the name soil metagenome. RNAcentral's name for it is "partial contains 5.8S ribosomal RNA, internal transcribed spacer 2, and large subunit ribosomal RNA". The stretch from base 1 to 120 matches the Rfam family "5.8S ribosomal RNA", at positions 35 to 154 of the family's 154-position model. The record is from RNAcentral.